RNAcentral lists this ribosomal RNA (836 nucleotides) under uncultured Staphylococcus sp. RNAcentral's name for it is "bacterial SSU rRNA". It matches the Rfam family "Bacterial small subunit ribosomal RNA", at positions 77 to 896 of the family's 1533-position model. Lineage: Bacteria; Bacillati; Bacillota; Bacilli; Caryophanales; Staphylococcaceae. The record is from RNAcentral.
AGCUUGCUUCUCUGAUGUUAGCGGCGGACGGGUGAGUAACACGUGGAUAACCUACCUAUAAGACUGGGAUAACUUCGGGAAACCGGAGCUAAUACCGGAUAAUAUUUUGAACCGCAUGGUUCAAAAGUGAAAGACGGUCUUGCUGUCACUUAUAGAUGGAUCCGCGCUGCAUUAGCUAGUUGGUAAGGUAACGGCUUACCAAGGCAACGAUGCAUAGCCGACCUGAGAGGGUGAUCGGCCACACUGGAACUGAGACACGGUCCAGACUCCUACGGGAGGCAGCAGUAGGGAAUCUUCCGCAAUGGGCGAAAGCCUGACGGAGCAACGCCGCGUGAGUGAUGAAGGUCUUCGGAUCGUAAAACUCUGUUAUUAGGGAAGAACAUAUGUGUAAGUAACUGUGCACAUCUUGACGGUACCUAAUCAGAAAGCCACGGCUAACUACGUGCCAGCAGCCGCGGUAAUACGUAGGUGGCAAGCGUUAUCCGGAAUUAUUGGGCGUAAAGCGCGCGUAGGCGGUUUUUUAAGUCUGAUGUGAAAGCCCACGGCUCAACCGUGGAGGGUCAUUGGAAACUGGAAAACUUGAGUGCAGAAGAGGAAAGUGGAAUUCCAUGUGUAGCGGUGAAAUGCGCAGAGAUAUGGAGGAACACCAGUGGCGAAGGCGACUUUCUGGUCUGUAACUGACGCUGAUGUGCGAAAGCGUGGGGAUCAAACAGGAUUAGAUACCCUGGUAGUCCACGCCGUAAACGAUGAGUGCUAAGUGUUAGGGGGUUUCCGCCCCUUAGUGCUGCAGCUAACGCAUUAAGCACUCCGCCUGGGGAGUACGACCGCCAAGGUUG